This 3196-nucleotide long non-coding RNA is filed under the name Canis lupus familiaris (dog). Its description in RNAcentral is "lncRNA (ENSCAFG00845005832.1)". Lineage: Eukaryota; Metazoa; Chordata; Mammalia; Carnivora; Canidae. The record is from RNAcentral.
AUGAUCAGUGAAAUCAGGAAAGGCCAAGAGGCCCAGCUAAUCCACAAAUUGGAUCAUCCACCCCUGAAUAAUCAAGAGUUGCUGGCACAAAAGUUGGUUUCUCUCUUUGAUCAUCAGCACACUCAAAACACACCUACAUUUGCUUCUUGUGGGAGCCCUCUGAAGGAAUCUACUCCACACUGGGGUUUCAUUACCAAAUUCUGGGGAGCUGUUCAUAAUGAAGACGGUGUCGAAGAAAAGAAUGGCCAGGGAGAAGGGGCUAAUGUAUUUGAAAUUCUAAUUCUGAAAGAUGAGAAAAAGGGAAUUAUGAGAGAAUGGUAAUCCUAACGAACAAUAUUGUCUAGAGGCAACUGUUAGACAUGAGUCUAGGUCCCUUUCAUAGGCCGAGUUCUGAGAUUGGAAGUGAAAUCCUUCCCAAAUCUGGAGACCUUCUUGUAUGAGUUGGGAGACGGACAGUCAGACUGCGAUCCUAAAGUCUGGCUCACAGAAGGACUUGGGAGUUGAGCGGAAAGUGUGAAAUCCUACAAUAACUGUAUCAUUGUGCCAGACAGAGCCUCCUUUGUCUCUGUAAGCUAUCUGACUUUCCCAUAGGGUUCCUUUCCCCAAACAUGCCUCAAAUUGUGUUGCUUAAUGAAAAAUGCUGCUCAGGACAAGGUAGUUUUCACCAACGGUCAUACAUGGUGGACAUUCUAGUAAUUCUAGUCCUAUGGGAGAGCAGGCGGGGCUUAGGCAGCUUGGGAAAAUGAGUUCUGAGAGUGGCACCCAGAAAACUGCCCGGCUGGUGGGGCAGAGAGAACGGGUCAUAUGUCAGCCCAUGUCCUCUGCAAGCCUCUCCAAUGCAUCUUGAAAAUGCCACGGCCCCUGAAACCCAUGCAAUUGUUUUGCUUCUGGUCUAAGUAUAAAUCUUUUAAUUGCGUGUCCUAAGCCUUGAGACAUUUAUGUGGAAUUGUUUUGGGGGGAAAAAAAGAAAGGAAGGAAGAAAGGAAGGAAGGAAGAAACUUGCUGGCAGUCAAGCGAUCUGCAUUUCAUUUCAAUUUAGAUAGUUUUGCUAUACAGUUUUUUCCCAAGGUUUCCUGGAUUUCAAUAAUAUAUCUUUCAUCACCAGAUCACCAAAAACUGGUUGUGUUGAGCUGUCCCUGGGGCUUUGGAGUGCAUAUCAGGGAUUACUUUAUAAGUGGGAACUUAUGAAUUGUAUUGGGUUUACAAAUGACUUGUUUUUCUCAGUUUAAUGGUCAAACCAUGAAACCGAUAACUUAUUCCUGGAAGGGUAUGUGUAUGAUAUGUUAAUGGGUCUUUGAGAACGGGAUUAAAAUGCAAUCAACACAUACACACACACACACACACACACACAAACCCCAAGUUUUAAAUAAGACAUUUACUGAGUAGAUAAGCUCUGACUGCUAUGAAAUGCCGGCUUAAAGUGUCCAUUUUAAUGUGUUCAUACAUCUCUCUACCCUUGACCAACUGCUCUAAGAACAUUGGGGCUGACUUUUAAAAACUCUUGGCAGCAAUCAUUUAACCUUGCAACCCGAGCAAGGCAUUGUGCACCUCAGUGGACUUCUGGCAGGAACCAACAGCAAGUGGAGAAGCCCUGAGUUCCAGUGCUCGCUGACCUGUAUGGUGGAAGUUGCUGGGUGCUGAAGGUGGUGGGUACGGAAGGACAAGUGAGCAUGGCACCUUUCUGAGCACAUCAGUUUUAUUUCCCAUCAGUCUGAUGGCUGUAGCAGGGCAGGGGGGGCCGAUAGGUGUGUGUGUGUGUGGGGGGGGGUUUCUACAAAAGACAAGUUUGGAUUUCCACUUUAUAGGAAUGAAGGAUCCUGUGCUUGCCAAAUUGCAAAGGCAUAGAAAUAUCCCAGGCGGGGAGCAGGGAAUUCAGCUGCAGCCUUUGGAGUGGAGGUGAUUUAUGGCAGGCCAAAGGAAGAGUCCAGGUCCACACAGUGAGGGAGGUGGGAAUUGAGAAGGCAGACCAGGAAAAUGUUAAGAAGCACUGAAAUUUUCCUGCCUGUCCAAACGCUGUCUCAGUAUAACAUUGUGGGGAGUUGGGUGUAAAUGAAUCAGAAACAUAUGGAUUAAACUUCCCUCCAUGGGUGGAGGGGGGGAUGGUGGGAAAUAAUGAUUGUCAAACUGGGGGUGUGGAUGAUUCUAAUGUGAACCCACUUGAAGAAUCUCCCAGCUGACUGACAGAUGAACGUUCUCCUCAUGAUGGCCUCUCUCCAGUUUUGGAGGACACUUACACUGAAAGCUGAUAGUCAAAACUGCCUCUUUAAUUCCCAAGAUGAUAGAUGUUCUGGUGUUCACUGCGUAUCCCUUCCUGUACCCUCCACCUCCAAGGCCACCUCCAAACUGUAAGUAAGGUCUUUCCAUUGCCUUCCUAGGACACCCCUUGGCUGCCACUGCUCUUCCCCUUUCAGGUUUGGUGGCUUUUUAGCCCAGUGAUUUUACUGGUAAUUCCCUUCCCACCCCCACCCCCACAAAGAUAUAGAUUAAGAAUGCGUAUUGUUUAAAGUUGUAGCAUCAUUUCCCUGCCACAUGCAUUCUACGUGUGACAAUUUUGGUUAAUGUUAAAAACAAUAGGGGCACCUGGGUGGCUGGGGCACCUGAAUAACUCAAUGGUUGGGCCUCUGCCAUCGGCCCAGGGCAUGAUCCCGGGGUCCUUGGAUCAGUCCCACAUUGGACUCCCUGCAUGGAGCCUGCUUCUCCCUUUGCCUGUGUCUCUGCCUCUCUCUCUGUGUCUCUCAUGAAUAAAUAAAUAAAAUCAUUUUAAAAGAAUUAAAAAAUUUCAUUUGGAGAGUUUGUAGUUCUGUGACAAGUUGCUGGGUCACUGGAGUGAUUCUUGGGUUGAGGUGCCUUUGAGGGAAGGUUAGAGGAACGAGAGACAGCAUUACAAAGGAGUCUCCUGAAAGUAAUCUGAAUCUGAAACUGGAUAUAGCUGUGUGGAUUCUACACGGGCAGGAAAUAAUCAUCAUAACAUUUUUGGGCUGCUGACAAUGCUCUGGGCACUAUCCUAAGAUUUCAACGCAUCCUUUUGAGAGUAAUUGUGGGUGGGGGAGUGUAUGAUACCCAUUUUACAGUUGGGAAAACUGAACCGCAGAGAUGUCAAUCACAUAUUUAUGUUUGCAAAUCUAGUAGUACACAGGAGGACUGAGGUGAGACUCCCCAGCAACAUUUAAGAGAGUGCCCAAGAACUCAGUAAUCC